Molecule: long non-coding RNA, 338 nt
Filed under: Elaeis guineensis (African oil palm)
Lineage: Eukaryota; Viridiplantae; Streptophyta; Magnoliopsida; Arecales; Arecaceae
Description: long non-coding RNA (EGUI_LNC025914)
Source: RNAcentral
CCAUCAUUGAUUUUGGACUAAGGAGGAGUAAAUAUACCCUCCUCUAAUAGUCCAUCUCAAUAUAAUUUAUUUGAUUAGCAAUAGACAUUUAAAAUAUACAAAUAUGGUAGUUUAUAGAUGAAUAUUACAUACAUACGUUCAUACAUAUAUACAUAAAUAUGUACAUAUAGUAACAUUAUCUAAGAGAAAUUAGUGAACAUCAAAUAUGUCUUAUCAUGUAGAUCAAAUAUUGGGAAGAAAUCCUUUAUUAUGUUUAAAAUAUUGGGAAGAAAUUUUUUCUGGCGCUCUAAAAGUUUAGCCGAGCAGGAUCUCAAAGAAAAAUUAUUAUAAUCUAUGGC